UGAGACGAGAAGAAAAGAUUU
This 21-nucleotide non-coding RNA is filed under the name Caenorhabditis elegans. The record is from RNAcentral. Lineage: Eukaryota; Metazoa; Nematoda; Chromadorea; Rhabditida; Rhabditidae.